AUGGGGAGGCGGAAGGAGCGCCGCCUGGCGGCCAAGGCGGCCUCGGGCCGCAGGGUCAAGCUCGACCUCUUCCUCGAUCCUUCCCCCGGGGAGGCGUCUAUGAAAGAGGGAGUUGGAGAGGAAAACCGUGGGCAGCAAACUGGUGUUCCCACUUCACCAUCUUCGUCAGAUAAGAAGGAAAAUCCUCUAGCAUUGCUUGGGCAAUAUAGUGAUGAUGAAGAAGAGGAUGAAGUAGCAACAGAUCAACCCAAUGGUGAAACUAAGGGGAGUCCAACAGAUGCAAGUGCCGAGGUUAUUCAUGAUCAUGGUGAUGUAACUGGGGAUAACGGCGAUGCAGAUAGUGAACUGCCUGCUUCUGUUAGUGUUCAGCAGGAGGUAUCUCAAGCUGAUGAUGUCAAAAAUAUCACAGAAAAUGUUGCUGAGGAAUUUACUAUUGCCCCUGAGCCAACUCUGGAAAAUGAAUGUGUGACAGCUACGGAAGCUGUCCCAGAUUCAUCUGGCAUGCAAAUUGUUGGUGACAUUGGUGGGAAUUGGAAGGCUAUAAUGCAUGAACAGAGUAACCAGUGCUACUACUGGAACACAGUUACAGGAGAAACUUCUUGGGAGAUUCCUAAUGGAUUAGCUUCAGUAGUUGCUGCUGAUGGAGUCACUUCUGCAUCUGUGCCUACUCAUAUGGGGUACUCUGUAGAAGCUCAAGCACAUGUCCUUCCCCACAGUAAUGUCGAAGCAUAUCCUAGUGAUGUGUCUGUUGGAAAUGGCACAGCAACCUAUACUGCUAUGGGAACUUAUACUCAUGAUCCUUAUGCUUACACUGGAGCCGUUGCUAGUCAUGGGAGAGUGGACAUUGACCCCUUGCAGCUUGCAAAAUAUGGUGAGGAUUUACUGCAAAGACUGAAGCUGCUGGAAAGGCCACAUGUUGCCAUUGACAGUCUUGAGUUGAUAAAAAGAGAAAUUGAGAUACGAAUAGCAGACUGUAAUACCCUCUCCUCGUAUGGAUCUUCUUUACUUCCGUUGUGGUUGCAUGCUGAGGUGCACCUUAAGCAACUAGAACUUUCAGUUUCCAAGUUUGAAGCUAGCUACACUACCAAACAUGGAUAUCUGGAGACAGUGGAUGCAGGACACAAAGCACCUAAUGAAGCUGAAGUUAUGGCACCCUCUGAGGGUGAGCAUUUGAAGGUUGAUGUUAGCACUCUGGGAAUAGGUACUGGCGACGAAAAUAUUAAGGUUGAGGAACCAUGUACAACAUUAUCUGUUCAGAACUCACAAGGUGUGGCAGCAGCUAUUUUAAGAGUUGAAUCAGACAGUGAUGAAGAUAUGGACGUGGAAAUGGAGGUCGAUGAAGAAGGUGUUGAAGAGCAGGGCGGUUCCACUUCUAUGCCAAAUAAGGAGCAUCCUUCAUCAGAGCAAGUACGAUCACCAGCUUUGUCAUCAUUGGAGGAUUCUGCUCCCCCACAGGAUAAUGACAUUCCUCCUCCUCCACCACCACCAGAAGAGGAAUGGAUUCCACCUCCACCACCUGAGAAUGAACCAGCUCCUCCACCUCCUCCUGAACCUGAAGAGCACGCUGUAUCAUUUGUUCAUGCUGAUACACUUCCUCAGCCAUACGGAGAUCAAGCAAACUUGGGUUAUAUGCUUCCAGGAAUGGAGUACUAUCCUGCUGCUGGUACAGAUGGCACAAAUGCCAACUACUAUAUGCAAGCAAGCGAUUCUCAUAUUCUUCAAUCACAGCAGCAUUCUUACUAUGCACCAUUGUCUGCAAGUGGCGUAUCUAUUCCUGUUGAGACCACAUCCAUCCCCCCAGUACCAGGUUCUUAUUAUAGCUAUCCUUCCGUCACGAUGGCUGCCACUGAAGUAGCGGCUGAAUCUUCUGGAUACUAUGCUUCAUCAACCUCUGCCAUUUCUAGUGGUGAAUUAGAUAACAAAACAAGCUCGGCCUCCCUUGUUGCAAAUAGUAAUGUGAAUCCUGUGGAGUCUGAUAAAGUGAUAUCCAAGGAGCCCACAGUUGCGUCUUUGAGCCAAUCAGUAGAAGCAGUCUCAGCUUCAGGACCAACAGUACAUGGAAGUUCUACUCAAGCUUCUACUAGCACCACUAAUCAGACUAAAGUUCCUCGUACUAAGAAGCGACCUGUUGCUGUUGCAUCAUCACUGAGAUCUAAUAAGAAGGUGUCAAGUCUGGUGGAUAAGUGGAAAGCUGCAAAAGAGGAGCUUCGUGAUGAAGAGGAAGAGGAGCCUGAAGAUGCUUUGGAGUACCUAGAAAGGAAACGCCGGAAGGAAAUAGAUGGGUGGCGUAAGCAACAAAUAGCUAGUGGAGAAGCCAAGGAAAAUGCCAAUUUUGUUCCCCUUGGUGGUGACUGGCGUGACCGUGUAAAACGCAAAAGAGCUGAAGCAAAGAAGGAAGCGAAGACUGAAUCUAUUCGUGCAGCUGCCGAACAACACAAAGGGGAGCCUGAUCUCUCAGAGCUCUCCAAGGGUCUUCCUUCUGGGUGGCAGGCAUACAUAGACGAGUCUACGAAGCAAGUGUACUAUGGGAACAACCUCACUUCCGAGACGACUUGGGAUCGGCCUAGCAAAUAA
Molecule: ribosomal RNA, 2574 nt
Filed under: Triticum aestivum (bread wheat)
Lineage: Eukaryota; Viridiplantae; Streptophyta; Magnoliopsida; Poales; Poaceae
Description: partial small subunit ribosomal RNA
Source: RNAcentral